UUAUAUUUAUAUAGAGCAGUGGUUCCCAAACUUUUUCAGUCCACCCCCCCUUUGGUGCUACAAACUAAUCCUCUGUGUCCCCCACCCAGGAGUGGGAUUCAAAUUUCUGUGGGCAUGACAUAAUUUGAGGGCGUGGCUUGCUGGUUA
This is a non-coding RNA of Pseudonaja textilis, 147 nucleotides long. Lineage: Eukaryota; Metazoa; Chordata; Lepidosauria; Squamata; Elapidae. The record is from RefSeq and is a predicted model, not a curated record.